UACGUAGGGCGCAAGCGUUAUCCGGAAUUAUUGGGCGUAAAGAGCUCGUAGGCGGUUUGUCGCGUCUCCCGUGAAAGUCCGGGGCUCAACUCCGGAUCUGCGGUGGGUACGGGCAGACUAGAGUGAUGUAGGGGAGACUGGAAUUCCUGGUGUAGCGGUGAAAUGCGCAGAUAUCAGGAGGAACACCGAUGGCGAAGGCAGGUCUCUGGGCAUUAACUGACGCUGAGGAGCGAAAGCAUGGGGAGCGAACAGG
This 253-nucleotide ribosomal RNA is filed under the name uncultured bacterium. RNAcentral describes it as "partial 16S ribosomal RNA". It matches the Rfam family "Bacterial small subunit ribosomal RNA", at positions 524 to 776 of the family's 1533-position model. The record is from RNAcentral.